ACCUACAGCCACAUCACUCUAGAUGUGCUUGAUCUCAUCUGUUCUCUGAAACUAAACAGGGCUUGGCCUGGUCAGUACCUGGAUAGGAGACUACCUGGGAGCAGAAAGUGCUGUGGGCU
RNAcentral lists this ribosomal RNA (119 nucleotides) under Monopterus albus (swamp eel). The record is from RNAcentral. Lineage: Eukaryota; Metazoa; Chordata; Actinopteri; Synbranchiformes; Synbranchidae.